This 390-nucleotide ribosomal RNA is filed under the name Triticum aestivum (bread wheat). RNAcentral describes it as "partial small subunit ribosomal RNA". The record is from RNAcentral. Lineage: Eukaryota; Viridiplantae; Streptophyta; Magnoliopsida; Poales; Poaceae.
AUGUGUUGUAAUUUCAAGCAUUGCUUCUGUUACAUGAUAAAACUAGUUAUUUAUAGAAUUGACGUAAGUGUAGGGUUCAUUGCUUCACCAAACUUGUGCAUACCUUCUUAUUUCCUCAAGUUAACCAAACUUUAUCUGCAUGCCUUUUAUUUCCCUUCUUCAAGUGUGGCCAUAGCUGUCGAGGAACUGACAUCUCUAAGGUGCACUAUUGCAUGCAACCUUCACAUGCCACAAGUGGCAUCAAUCUCAGUUAUGAAAAUAGGGUCCACAUGCUUAAAAGAUGCCCUCCUGCAACUGUUUGUGCCACUCAUCAUGUUAGCCAUUUUUGCUCUCUCCAUAAAUAUGGUCCACAGACUUAAAAUAUGUCCAAGAAGUUGUGGUUCAUCUUAG